CACGUAGGAAGCGAGCGUUAUCCGGAUUUACUGGGCGUAAAGCGCGUGCAGGUGGUAACGUAAGUUGGAUGUGAAAGCUCCUGGCUUAACUGGGAGAGGUCGUUCAAAACUGCGUAACUAGAGUACGAUAGAGGGAGGUAGAAUUCCGAGUGUAGUGGUGAAAUGCGUAGAUAUUCGGAGGAAUACCAGAGGCGAAGGCGGCCUCCUGGAUCGUAACUGACACUGAGACGCGAAAAGCUAGGGUAGCAAACGGGG
This 255-nucleotide ribosomal RNA is filed under the name uncultured bacterium. RNAcentral's name for it is "partial 16S ribosomal RNA". It matches the Rfam family "Bacterial small subunit ribosomal RNA", at positions 524 to 777 of the family's 1533-position model. The record is from RNAcentral.